Molecule: long non-coding RNA, 507 nt
Organism: Oncorhynchus tshawytscha (Chinook salmon)
Lineage: Eukaryota; Metazoa; Chordata; Actinopteri; Salmoniformes; Salmonidae
Source: Ensembl
GAAGCAAAUGAAGAAAAAGAGAGAAACAGUAGCUUUUAACACAGUGUAGACCGGGGGGUUGUUUUAACACAGUGUAGACAGGGGGUUGUUUUAACACAGUGUAGACAGAGGGUUGUUUUAACACAGUGUAGACAGGGGGUUGUUUUAACACAGUCUAGACAGGGGGCUGUUUUAACACAGUUGUGUGAGUUGUGGCUUAUGAACUUCUACUUCUGGUAGGUUCUUAUCUCGGGCUCCUGAUUGGCUCAUUGCGGUCUAAGGCACUGCAUCUCUGGUGCUACAGGCGUCACUACAGACCCUGGUUCGAUUCCAGGCUGUAUCCACCACCGGCCGUGAUUGGGAGUCCCAUAAGGCAUAACACAAUUGGCUGUCUGCGUUUUGCCGGGGAUAGGCUGUCAUUGUAAAUAUGAAUUUGUUCUUCACUGACUUGUCUAGUUAAAUAAAGCUUAAUAAAUAAAAUAAAGUACCAGGAGAGUGAGCACUGCCAUUGAUUAGAGCACACACACA